Malaclemys terrapin pileata is the source of this 627-nucleotide long non-coding RNA. RefSeq lists it as uncharacterized. The record is from RefSeq and is a predicted model, not a curated record. The transcript has 3 exons. Lineage: Eukaryota; Metazoa; Chordata; Testudines; Emydidae.
CAUCCCUGCCCUGGGAGGUGUUCGAGGCAACAGAGAAGACAGAAGAGGUGGGUGAGAGGAUCAGGCUGGGGGCAGACAGGACAAAGGAGCAGCAGGAACCGGAGGCUGUAGAAGGGACCAGCCGUGUGUCCAGUUCACAGAUGCCGAGUCGCAAGCAAAGAAAUCACCGCGUCCUCCUCCGGCUUCCCUAGCCAGUGCUGCCCUGAUUACUCACAAUCACCAGCUGCUCCCUUAGCCCUGCAUCACUGAGGAGACGGCCACUGGCCUGGGGCCCUGGAGGAAGGAGGCGAGAAACUGAGCAGGAGCCAAAAUCGUAAACCAGAAAGGAGGCACCUGCCUGUGACAGGACCCCGGAUGGCCGAGUUCUUACUUGGAACCAGCAGCUAAAAGGCUCCAUGUCCGGCUUCCAGUCCCUCUAGCCCCUGCCCAGGCCCCGAGCACCCUUGACCCAUGGAUCUCAAAGAGCUUUACACAGCUACGCCCUACACUGCCUCUCUGAGGGAGGUGAACGAAGCCAUUCCUGUUUUUCAAGGCCACACAGGGGUCGGAGUAGCCGUUGGCAUCCAUGGCAGCCAGGUGUGCACAGCGGAUGAUGCCGACCAAGAGGCCUUGCUUCUGGGAGCUGUA